Non-coding RNA from Triticum aestivum (bread wheat), 135 nucleotides. NCBI's taxonomy places the organism in Eukaryota, Viridiplantae, Streptophyta, Magnoliopsida, Poales, Poaceae. The record is from Rfam.
CAACUACUACCUCUAUCCCAAAAUUCUUGUCUUAGAUUUGUCUAGAUACUGAUGUAUCUAAUACUAAAAUGUGACUUGAUACAUCCGUAUCUAGACAAAUCUAAGACAAGAAUUUUGGGACGGAGGGAGUACUUU